UAAAACACAGGUUUCUGCAUGUGAAUUUCAAAACAUAACACCAAAAAGUAGGUUGUUUUCUUUGAUUCUUUGUUCUCGUUUUCUUUGCUUUUAGUUUAUGCUAUGUGGGUAACCAUUCUUUUCCUCAAUUUUGAAGAACAAGACGACUAAGCAUUUUGGAUUGUCGUUGAUUAUCGUUUUUGGAGCUUAUUCAAGUGAAGCCUGAACCAUUAGGAGUAGGCUAUCUGUGUUUCUUGCUUAACAGCUUUGUGGGUAGUUGUAAUUCACUUUAACUUCGUGUUGUUUUUGGAUUUUGUAGUGUACCCAAGAGUCAGGGUGAGGAAACAAGAACAAGAUGAUGAAGCUGAAAUUUCUCCACUAGAGGUUAAUGGAGAUUUGCACUUCUUGAAGGUUCUUGAAUCUCUAUCCGUGCAAGGUCGUACAGAGAAGGAGAACCAAAGUGAUUCACCAGCUUUAAUAGCCAGAAUCACAAAGCCUUAUGUCCCAAACCCAAAAACAGAAGCAGUUUGUGCUUCUAGAGGUUGAAUAUUUUGCUCUAUCACUGUCUUAAUCUUGUUUUAUGGUUCUGCUCUCCCUGUCUAGCUUUCUUGUUGUUGGUACUUACGCAAAUUCUCCUUUCAAUUUCUAACAGAGAAGAACAAAGCUCAUUCGAUCUCUCGUCCUCGAGCAGUCUUAUCUAGUCCUGGUAUUCUUGUUCAUAAUUCAUUCUUGAGCUCAUUCAGAUUUGAAUUUUAGAAAGUUACCCAUUGUUACAAUGAACUAUAUUAUCUGCUUAGAUUUUGAAUUAUUUUCUACUUGUCCUCAGCUAAUGAUGGCAUGGUUGGAAAUAGAAACAAGGUAAAUAAUGAAAGGUCAUUGGCUUUGAGGAAGUGUAACUCUGAACCUAGGAAGCCAAUCCAAACCAAGGCCAUUGCUAGUGGCUUUUGUCAGGCUAAAGCAGAAAGCUCUCUGAACAUGAGAAGAGGAAGCUUCAAGGUUGCAUCUAGCAGCACAAGCAGUGUAAAGAAGAGGGGACUCUCUGUUAGCUCAAAACUUCAUCUGCAAAAACCAUCUUAGUGCAAGAAAACAAUCUCCAUUGCAAUCUGCUCAGCAUUUUUAAAGGAGCAGGACUAUUAGUAUUUGUAUCCUCACCGUUUGCAGCACCAGACAUUUCGAACUUCAUAUAUAUACUAAUAAGCUUGUACAAAUUGGCCUUCUGUGAAAAAUUUGUACAAUUAAGGGUAAAUACAAAUUGCCUGAGAAUUUUGUUUGCUGACAUAAAGUUCUAACCUGUGAUGAUAGAUUGUGAAUUUCCGAUGAGUCAUUAGCAAAG
RNAcentral lists this unclassified non-coding RNA (1312 nucleotides) under Hevea brasiliensis (rubber tree). The record is from RNAcentral. Lineage: Eukaryota; Viridiplantae; Streptophyta; Magnoliopsida; Malpighiales; Euphorbiaceae.